UACAAUUAGAAUUCAGCGUUUAUUCUGGGAAAAAAUUAUCUAAAAAAAAUAUGUAAAAAACCUGGAAUUAAUAAACAAAGAUUAAAAAAAAAAAAACGAGUAGAAAUCCCGGGAAAAGUGGGAAAAUCCACGUUUCCCCAUUUUUCAUUGGCUGGCCCUAAGGAAUGUCUCGAUUUGACCUCUAUGUAGCAGCAAUUGAGGGCCUUGAAGUUAAAGUAAAAAGGACGAUAUUUAAAUUAUGACGGUGCCUUAGGAUUAUUGAAGUCCGACCUAUGAUGUUUGUACCGUUAGUGGCCGUCCCGACCGAGGGAUGGAAUUCAGCCCGUAUCAGAUAACGGGACGUAACAGAAAUUGUUAAGAAAAUUCGAAUUUUACAUAAGAAAGACUCAGCAGAACUCUCAAUUGCUAUCGAUUUCAUAAUUUUAUCGUAUGGGCAUGUAAUACUUUCAUUCGGAUAUCGAAAAUUCUGUCACGUAGUAAACAGGUGACAUCUUCAAUUUGUUUGCUCGAGUGCAUCGAAAUUUUAUUUGUCGUUUUCUACUCCAUUUUAUAAGCGCUCAACUACGGAAGAAGACAACACCUGUAAACCAACUACACGCAACAUAUAAACAACUAAAGCUGUCGAGAGUUGUGAAUAUCAUGUUGUCGAUUUCAUCUAACUAUAAUGGAAAAGUACAUAUUUAAUACGUCGUAUUACUGGAGAUCAAGAUUUACUUUGCGAUUUUUGCGUUCUUCUGCUUCCGUGCAUUUUGAGGGCGGAUAUUAGAUUCGUAGCAUAGUAUACAUAGCGGAGUGACCAACGAAGAGUCUAUUUACAGAAUGGCAAAGGUAAUCAGAUUAUUUCUGAUCUGAAAAAUACGACAGACUGGAUUCAUGAUUGAAAUUUUCUAUUUCGAAUCGUUCGAUUAUUCGUUUUGUAUUAUCGAUUAGUUUUUUUUAUUAACUGAUGCGUAUUGACACCUGUAUAGUCCAUUUUUAUUGCUUUUCUCUGGCUAUUUUAUAAUUUAAAAACUGCAGUCAACUGUUAUGAACGCUGGUCAUUUAUGUCGGUAUGAAUUGAUUAACCGUGAUACAUUAAAAUUUUUAUGAAAAAGAUUAAAUUUUUGGAUUGAAGCAAUCGAGAAUCGUAUAGUAUUAUCAUACAUUAUUUUUCUCAUAAUAACAAUACCUUUUAUAAUAAUGAUGUUCUUUUUUGUAAUUAUAUUACUAAUAUCUUUAUUUGGUUUUCCCUUCGAGGUAACAUUAAAGUGAAAUUACAGUGCCACGAUUUCUUUAGGACAAUCGAAAUUCAUAUUAUAAAAUAGCGUAAGAAAGUUGAUUAAAUGUACCGAUUUAAUUUAAUAAAUUAGUUACGACACGCGAUACAUGUAUAUAAAUAAACAAAAAGUUCACUCGUCUGUAUGUAUUUAUAACGAAGAGAAGAAAAUGUUAAAAAAAAUUGUAAAUUUGUAUCGUUAUAAACAGGUAAGAUGGUAAUAUAAAAAGGGACUGAAAGAGUCCAAAAUAAAGAGCAAAGAUGAAACAAAAGAAAAAAAUAAUAAAAUAAAAUGGCAAGUACGUGAAAUAAAUUCUCCUUUCUCUGGCGAUUUCAGCAA
Long non-coding RNA from Bombus terrestris (buff-tailed bumblebee), 1595 nucleotides. RefSeq lists it as uncharacterized. The transcript has 2 exons. The record is from RefSeq and is a predicted model, not a curated record. NCBI's taxonomy places the organism in Eukaryota, Metazoa, Arthropoda, Insecta, Hymenoptera, Apidae.